Molecule: long non-coding RNA, 548 nt
Filed under: Phasianus colchicus (ring-necked pheasant)
Lineage: Eukaryota; Metazoa; Chordata; Aves; Galliformes; Phasianidae
Description: lncRNA (ENSPCLG00000019668.1)
Source: RNAcentral
CCGUAAUACAAAUGUAUACCUCAACCUGACAACUAGAAUCCAUUACUCUUAUUAUUCACUAAGAAAAGACAAUGUCCUAUGGGGAAUUUUCUUGCAGUGUUAUUUAGGUAGUUUCCUGAAAGGCAAUGUGUAUUGCCGAUAGUUCAAAAUUUCUGGAAAAGAGUUAGAGCAAGGUCCAUUGCACAGAAAAAGUAUUGCUGAAGGAAGGAGGCAACCUUGUGGCAAUGCAAGCAGGUCCAAUGGUUGGAGAAUAGAAAUGAAACCCCUGCAUGUGGAUUCCAGAGUAAAAAUAUACUCGGUGGGGAUGUUACAUUCAGGUCCAAGAUUUAAAGCUCUAUAGUGAGGAAAAUCAAGAUGACAGAUGCAAAGAGACAGUAAAUUACUGACACACUCCUUUUCAAUCAUGCUUUGAAGUGUUAAAGAAUUCAGACCAAAUCUUAACCAUGAAAGCUUUGUAAGAGUCAAGCUGCAAUUUACCAGGCCUGCGGAAUGUAAUUCAUGUAUUUUUAAAGAAUGUAUUUUUUUCAAAUCUUCAGGUUUGGGACGAG